GACGAACGCUGGCGGCGUGCCUAAUACAUGCAAGUUGAGCGAUGAAGAUUGGUGCUUGCACCAAUUUGAAGAGCAGCGAACGGGUGAGUAACGCGUGGGGAAUCUGCCUUUGAGCGGGGGACAACAUUUGGAAACGAAUGCUAAUACCGCAUAACAACUUUAAACAUAAGUUUUAAGUUUGAAAGAUGCAAUUGCAUCACUCAAAGAUGAUCCCGCGUUGUAUUAGCUAGUUGGUGAGGUAAAGGCUCACCAAGGCGAUGAUACAUAGCCGACCUGAGAGGGUGAGCGGCCGCAGUGGGACUGAGACACGGCCCAAACUCCUACGGGAGGCAGCAGUAGGGAAUCUUCGGCAAUGGACGAAAGUCUGGCCGAGCAACGCCGCGGGAGUGAAGAAGGUUUUCGGAUCGUAAAACUCGGUUGGUAGAGAAGAACGUUGGUGAGAGUGGAAAGCUCAUCAAGUGACGGUAACUACCCAGAAAGGGACGGCUAACUACGUG
This 497-nucleotide ribosomal RNA is filed under the name uncultured bacterium. RNAcentral describes it as "partial 16S ribosomal RNA". It matches the Rfam family "Bacterial small subunit ribosomal RNA", at positions 28 to 507 of the family's 1533-position model. The record is from RNAcentral.